UCUUAAUCCGUUUUACAUCCUUCGAUUUUCCGUAAUAAUAUAGUGGACCUCUUUCACAUGUUAAGGAGUUAAAAAUGGUUUUUGGCCAAGCCAAUGAUGGACAGGACAGGUAUUAUGAAUGCUUGCACCAGAGAUCAGACACGUCAAUGAGAAAAUCAUAAAGAAAAUAUUGUUGGUAAACUGGGAAUCGAACCUGGAACACCGUGUGAAGAAAUAUACUUUUUUACUCAUUAGACUAGGCCGACCCUUACUUCAUUGUUAUCAAUAAAUUUUAAAUUAUCACUGAAGACGUUAUUUAUUUACUAAUUUAUAAAAAAAAUGAAAUUAUUGCUUGAUUAUUACUUGUUUUAAGAAUAAAUUAUACUUUUUUACUUAGUUUUAUCAAUUUUUAAGUAUAUUUAAUGUUAAAAAUAUAGUUUUAUUCCUUUUAAAUGGCAAAAUGCAAUGAUUGGCGUAAAUAUAGUAGAACUACAUGGCCAAUUCCAACAAUUCAACAAAUAUUUCUUCCCGAGUUCAAAAUUAAAUCAUAUGUAAAUGAAAAUACCUUCCAGGUUAUGCAAUUUAUUUGCAAAGGAGCAUUUGGAAAAGUAUACAAAGUAAAACAUUUAGAUUCCAACAAAAUAUAUGCUAUGAAAAUUCUUAAAAAGGCAAUGAUAAUUGAACAAAAUGGAGUACAACAAGUGAAAAAUGAAGUGCAAAUUCAGUCUAUAUGUGGACAUCAUCCUUUUAUUAUAAGCUGUUCAUUUUAUUGGCAAAGCAGGAAACAACUGUUUAUUGUUAGUAAUUAUGUGGAAGGAGGAGAAUUAUCAAAUUUGAUAUCAAAAUAUAAGUAUUUGCCGGAAAAAUUGUGCCGUUUUUACUUAGCUGAAAUAAUAAUUAUUUUAGAUUUUCUACAUAAUGCUGGUGUUAUAUAUAGAGAUUUAAAACCCGAAAAUAUUUUACUAGAUAAUGAUGGAUACUUUCAGUUAAUUGACUUUGGUUUAUCUAAAUGGUUACCAAUAGGCUGUUCUACUAGAACAAUUUGUGGAACGUCUCAAUAUAUGGCACCAGAAAUAUUACAAUCAGGAAUCUACAAUCACGCAGUUGAUUGGUGGUCAGCUGGUAUAUUAUUAUUUCAAAUGCUUACUAAUCAGUACCCACCAAAAAAUCAUGAAGAUAUAAAGAUAGCUCUCGAACACGUAAGCAAAGGUGCUACAGACAUUAUUCUUAAAUUACUGGAAACAAAUCCACAACAUAGAUUGAAGUCUCUACGUCAUGCUAAAUUUCAAACAUUUUUCCAUGGUUUUGAUUUCUCUGAUGUCACUUCAAAAAAAAACAUACUUGUAACAGUUAAAACUAUCAGCUCUAAAUUCUGAUAGCGAUAAUGAUAUUGAUGAAACUGCAUUAUGAAAUUGUAAAAUAAGUGAUGUCUGCAACUGUUGAAGCUUAUGAUAUCGACAUUAAACCUAAUGAAUUACUCAAACAGUUAAUCCUUAAAAUACCUUGUCAAAAUGACAACAAAGUAGUUCAUUUUGAAGAAUUUGACUAAAAUUAGAAUGUGAUUUUCAAGUCUAUCAAUCUAAAAUAUAUUUUUAAAUUAAUUGUGUUAAUUUGUAAUUACUUAUAUUGUAUAAAAAAUUACUGUGAUGAACGUUGAAAAUUUUAUGGAUGUUAGUGGAUAAAAUUAUUAUUUUGUCAUAAAUAUACCAAUUCA
Molecule: RNA transcript, 1693 nt
Organism: Daktulosphaira vitifoliae (grape phylloxera)
Lineage: Eukaryota; Metazoa; Arthropoda; Insecta; Hemiptera; Phylloxeridae
Gene name: serine/threonine-protein kinase S6KL-like
Exons: 9
Source: RefSeq, a predicted model, not a curated record